GCGAUGGUAGCUCAGCCGUAGAGCGCCCCUGAUCAGGGAGGUUGCUGGUUCAACUCCAGCCCGUCGCCCCA
Molecule: transfer RNA, 71 nt
Filed under: Stenotrophomonas maltophilia
Lineage: Bacteria; Pseudomonadati; Pseudomonadota; Gammaproteobacteria; Lysobacterales; Lysobacteraceae
Description: tRNA-Ile
Rfam family: tRNA
About the family: Transfer RNA (tRNA) molecules are approximately 80 nucleotides in length. Their secondary structure includes four short double-helical elements and three loops (D, anti-codon, and T loops).
Source: RNAcentral